GACGAACGCUGGCGGCGUGCUUAACACAUGCAAGUCGAACGGAAAGGCCUGCUUUCCCUUGUGGAUUGCGGGUACUCGAGUGGCGAACGGGUGAGUAACACGUGAGUGAUCUGCCCCCAACUUGGGUAUAAGCCUGGGAAACUGGGUCUAAUACCCGAUAGGACUGCAGGGUGGUGCCUGUGGUGGAAAACGAUUUUCUAGUGGUUGGGGAUGAGCUCGCGGCCUAUCAGCUUGUUGGUGGGGUAAUGGCCUACCAAGGCGGCGACGGGUAGCCGGCCUGAGAGGGUGGACGGCCACAUUGGGACUGAGAUACGGCCCAGACUCCUACGGGAGGCAGCAGUGGGGAAUAUUGCACAAUGGGCGGAAGCCUGAUGCAGCGACGCCGCGUGGGGGAUGACGGCCUUCGGGUUGUAAACUCCUUUCGACCGCGAGGAAGCCACCUGGUUGGAAGGGUGGUGACGGUAGUGGUAGAAGAAGCACCGGCUAACUACGUG
Molecule: ribosomal RNA, 494 nt
Filed under: uncultured bacterium
Lineage: Bacteria
Description: partial 16S ribosomal RNA
Rfam family: Bacterial small subunit ribosomal RNA
Source: RNAcentral